RNAcentral lists this ribosomal RNA (468 nucleotides) under uncultured bacterium. Its description in RNAcentral is "partial 16S ribosomal RNA". It matches the Rfam family "Bacterial small subunit ribosomal RNA", at positions 28 to 507 of the family's 1533-position model. The record is from RNAcentral.
GACGAACGCUGGCGGCGUGCUUAACACAUGCAAGUCGAACGGAGAGGCGCCAGCUUGCUGGAGUUGAUCUGUGGCGAACGGGUGAGUAACACGUGUGCAACCUCCACCUGUCUGUGGGAUAUGCGCUGGAAACGGCGUCUAAUACUGGAUACGAGAAGUGUCCGCAUGGGCACUUUCUGGAAAUUUGUGCGGUUGGGGAUGGGCUCGCGGCUUAUCCGCUUGUUGGUGAGGUAGUGGCUCACCAGGGGUACGACGGGUAGCCGGCCUGGGAGGGCGACCGGCCACACUGGGACUGAGACACGCACCAGACUCGAACGGGAGGCAGCGGUGGGAAAUCUGACGCAGUGGGGGAAAGCCUGAGAUGGCGAUGCUGGGAGAGGGAUGCCGGCUUACGGGUGGAAAACCUCUUUGAGCAGGGAAGAAGAGAAAGUGACGGUACCUGCUGAAGAAGCACCGGCUAACUACGUG